Non-coding RNA from Brachypodium distachyon (stiff brome), 137 nucleotides. The record is from Rfam. NCBI's taxonomy places the organism in Eukaryota, Viridiplantae, Streptophyta, Magnoliopsida, Poales, Poaceae.
UAUAUGCUCCCUCCGUCCAAUAAAAGAUGACUCAAAUUUAUCAAAAUUUGAAUGUAUCUAGACAUGACUUAGUGUAUAGAUGACAUUCAAAUUUAGUCAAACGUGAGACAUUUUUUGUUGGACGGAGAGAGCACAAA